Molecule: ribosomal RNA, 301 nt
Filed under: uncultured bacterium
Lineage: Bacteria
Description: partial 16S ribosomal RNA
Rfam family: Bacterial small subunit ribosomal RNA
Source: RNAcentral
CAGUAGCCACGGUAAUACAGAGGGUGCAAGCGUUAAUCGGAUUUACUGGGCGUAAAGCGUGCGUAGGUGGCUGUUUAAGUCGGAUGUGAAAGCCCUGGGCUUAACCUGGGAACUGCAUUCGAUACUGGAUAGCUAGAGAUCGGUAGAGGGCAGCGGAAUUCCGGGUGUAGCGGUGAAAUGCGUAGAUAUCCGGAGGAACACCGAUGGCGAGGGCAACUGCCUGGGCCUGAUCUGACACUGAGGCACGAAAGCGUGGGUAGCAAACAGGAUUAGAUACCCGCGUAGUCCCUGUCUCUUAUAC